This 1021-nucleotide long non-coding RNA is filed under the name Gallus gallus (chicken). RNAcentral describes it as "lncRNA (ENSGALG00010003668.1)". The record is from RNAcentral. Lineage: Eukaryota; Metazoa; Chordata; Aves; Galliformes; Phasianidae.
GUGGCCACGGGCUGUGGGUCACGGCCGUGCCCGUGGUGAUGCUCGUCACCAACCCGCGUCGCCGGCGUCGGGGAGCUCCAUCCCACCCACGGUGCCGGCGUCGGGGCUGGCGCCGCGCUGGCUUUCUCCUGUAUCCUUUGUGGGGUUGUUCUUAACUUUCCGUUUGCCUUUGGGGUCAGCUCCUUCCCCGCCCCAUGGGAAGGCUGUGGGGUGAAGCGGUGGGGCACGAAGCACGGGGCCGUACGAAGCGUCUCUCUGAAGGCAUCUCCAAGGAGGUAAGGCAGGACGGACGCGGCCCCACGGUGGCUUUGGGGGAUCCCGUUGACUCUCACACCGAAGCGGACGACUCGGCGUUGCAGCAUUGGGGGGUUCGGGGGGGGACGGGGCCACCCGGGCACCUCGAGGGAUGGGGACCCAACAGUCAGUGGGGUGGGGGCCACGGGAGACUUGUAGGGCCCCCACCGUGUGUGGCCACCAAAGGGACCGCAAAGGCCACCACGAUUCAUGCGUGGCUGUCAGUAGGGCAGAAGGACAUGGAGUGGUCGCCAAAGUCAGUGCAUGGUGGUCUUUGGGAUCAGUGGGACCAUGGAAGGGUGGAAGGGGUCACGCGUGGGGGUCUGUAGGGCCAGGAGGACAUGGGGAGCUCGCCAUAAUCAAUGCAUGGUGGUCUUUGGAUCAGUGGGACCAUGUAGGGUGGAAGGGGUCAUGAGUGGCUGUCAGUAGGGCCAGAAGGACAUGGAGAGCUCGCCAUAAUCAAUGCAUGGUGGUCUUUGGGAUCAGAGGGACCAUGGAAGGGUGGAAGGGGCCAUGCAUGGGGGUCUGUAGGGCCAGAAGGACAUGGGGAGCUCGCCAUAAUUAAUGCAUGGUGGUCUUUGGGAUCAGUGGGACCAUGGAAGGGUGGAAGGGGUCAUGCAUGACUCUCAGUAGGGCCAGAAGGACAUGGAAGGCUCAGCAAAGUCCAUGUAUGGUGGGCUGUGGGAUCAGAUGGACCAUGUAGGGUGGAAGGGGUCAUGCAUGGGGG